UUAGUGCAAAGCGUGAACAGAGUGUCCUUGUUCACGUGCACAGUAAAUCUCAUUUAGUUGCGAAUCAAUACUUCGUUUGGUGCAGCUUUUUCAACUUGCAUGGCUGAAUGGUUAACAUAUUUUGGCAUAAGUUAGGGUGUUUGUACAGUUUAGAAAAUCCAAUCGAAAGUAAAUGGAGACAUACAAGAAACAAAAAUUGUCUCGUGCUAUUAAGGAAAUGAUUAAGGAUGAAGAAGUACUAAUUAACGCAGCUGUAAAAGAAACACAACGAGUAAUUCAUUAGAGAACCAUUAGAGAACUGCCAGUAAAAGUGUUGAGCUUCUUAACAUUCGAGCAGCGGAGAUCGGGUCCAUUUCAACACAGAAUGCAUUUUAAAAAACAUAUUGAAAAAAUUGAUGAAUGACAUUAUAAAUGAUCCCAAGCGUAAUUAGUUAUUUCUGUCAAAACUGUUCAUCGCGCUGGAGUUAAUUUUAAGCUCUAUCCUUCCAAUGCAAAUGAUGACAAAGGGAAAGUUCGACGUCAAGGGGUGAGAACUUCUACAUGAAAUUUCACUUUGAAAACGUGCCACCGUGAUCAAUAAUGGCACAGCAAUUGAAAAGUUUCGAGGAUGGAGGCAUUACAUUACAGAUAUGAGGUUUCGCGUAAAUUCAGUUUAAGAUACGGCGAAGCCAAAGAGCUUGACGAAAGAACAUUUCGUACCACCUUCAGUCAUUACGACAAGUUAUUUUUAAAAAGAGACAUUACGCAACAGCUUCACUCUGUGAAUCUUGUAUUCCCGAUAUGUGUCAAUGCCAUGAAAACACGGGGGAUGGCUUCGACGACAGAGGCAAGGACGAUAAUGUAGUGAUUCUCGAGUACCUUCGACAGGCUAUUUCUGUGUUAGUAACGACACGAGGUGCUUCCAAUCACAUGAACGUGUAAUGCUAAAAAAUUAGUGGCGUCGGAGUAUAUUUGUAAAAUAUUAUUCAAUAUGUACUCGAUAAGUAUUCUUCGAAUAUUAGAGAAAUAGAAUGCGAGAAAAUGUUCCUCGUUCAUGUAUUUUAGUUUCUUGAAUUUGCA
This is a non-coding RNA of Megalopta genalis, 1059 nucleotides long. Lineage: Eukaryota; Metazoa; Arthropoda; Insecta; Hymenoptera; Halictidae. The record is from RefSeq and is a predicted model, not a curated record.